CAUGCAGGCGGUUACAUAAGUCAGGGGUGAAAUCCCCGCGCUUAACGUGGGCAUUGCAUUUGAAACUAUGUAGCUAGAGUUCUGUAGAGGGGGGUAGAAUUCCAGGUGUAGCGGUGAAAUGCGUAGAGAUCUGGAGGAAUACCGAUUGCGAAGGCAGCCCCCUGGACAAAGACUGACGCUCAGGUGCGAAAGCGUGGGGAGCAAACAGGAUUCGAUACCCCAGUA
RNAcentral lists this ribosomal RNA (225 nucleotides) under uncultured Thorsellia sp. RNAcentral describes it as "partial 16S ribosomal RNA". It matches the Rfam family "Bacterial small subunit ribosomal RNA", at positions 568 to 792 of the family's 1533-position model. Lineage: Bacteria; Pseudomonadati; Pseudomonadota; Gammaproteobacteria; Enterobacterales; Thorselliaceae. The record is from RNAcentral.